CCUACGGGUGGCAGCAGUGGGGAAUAUUGCGCAAUGGGCGAAAGCCUGACGCAGCGACGCCGCGUGAGGGAUGAAGGCCUUCGGGUCGUAAACUUCUGUCAGUAGGGAAGAACGGUUAUUGUGUUAAUCACCAGUGAAUUGACGGUACCUGCAAAGGAAGCACCGGCUAACUCCGUGCCAGCAGCCGCGGUAAUACGGAGGGUGCGAGCGUUAAUCGGAAUUACUGGGCGUAAAGCGCUCGUAGGCGGUAGGUCAAGUCAAGGGUGAAAUCCCCGGGCUCAACGUGGGAACUGCAUUUGAUACUGGGAAGCUGGAGUGUGUGAGAGGAGGGUAGAAUUCCAGGUGUAGGGGUGAAAUGCGUAGAUAUGUGGAGGAACAUCGAUGGCGAAGGCGGCUAUCUGGGA
Molecule: ribosomal RNA, 404 nt
Filed under: uncultured bacterium
Lineage: Bacteria
Description: partial 16S ribosomal RNA
Rfam family: Bacterial small subunit ribosomal RNA
Source: RNAcentral